CCUACGGGAGGCUGCAGUGGGGGAUAUUGCACAAUGGGGGGAACCCUGAUGCAGCGACGCCGCGUGGGUGAAGAAGUAUUUCGGUAUGUAAAGCUCUAUCAGCAGGGAAGAAAAUGACAGGACCUUACCAAGAAGCCCCGGCUAACUACGUGCCAGCAGCCGGGGUAAAACGGAGGGGGAAAGCGUUAGCCGGAUUUACCUGGGGGAAAGGGAGCGUAGACGGGUAUGUAAGUCUGGAGUGAAAGCCCGGGGGCCAACCCCGGGACUGCCUUGGAAACUGUGUAACUGGAGUACAGGAGGGGCAGGCGGAAUUCCUGGUGUAGCGGUGAAAUGCGUAGAUAUCAGGAGGAACACCGGCGGCGAAGGCGGCCUGCUGGACUGAAACUGACGUUGAGGCUCGAAAGCGUGGGGAGCAAACAGGAUUAGAUACCCGGGUAGUC
This 440-nucleotide ribosomal RNA is filed under the name uncultured bacterium. RNAcentral describes it as "partial 16S ribosomal RNA". It matches the Rfam family "Bacterial small subunit ribosomal RNA", at positions 338 to 795 of the family's 1533-position model. The record is from RNAcentral.